AUACUUUACCAACAUAGGCACUUUCCUGUGCCUGUAAUUGAAAUAAGCAAGCGUAAAGGCAGUAUUAUUUUUGUCCUGUAGCGAUUGAUGGUGGAUACAGUGAGUGGUCUGAGUCUGAGUGCAGUGUGACAUGUGGAGAAGGGGAAAAAAUGCUGACAAGAACCUGCACCAAUCCUCCGCCAUCCUAUGGUGGAAAGGACUGCAAUGGGUGAGGGCCAGCUGAAAAGACUGUUCCGUGUAACGAAGGAGAUUGCCCGAUUGAUGGUGGAUACACAGAUUGGUCUGAGUCUAAGUGCAGUGCUACAUGUGGAGGAGGGAAAAAUACACUAAGAAGAACCUGCACCAAUCCCCCGCCAUCUAACAGUGGAAAGGAUGCAGUGAGCUGGGGCCAGCUGAAAGGAGAGUUUCAUGCAAUGAAGUAGAGUGCCCGAUUGAUGGUGGUUACACUGAGUGGACUGAGUCUGAGUGCAGUGUUCCAUGUGGAGGAGGAACACAACUACUUACAAGAACCUGCACCAAUCCUCCGCCAGCUUACGGUGGAAAAGACUGCAGUGAGCUGGGCCCAGAUAAAAAGAAAGUUUCAU
Stylophora pistillata is the source of this 584-nucleotide long non-coding RNA. NCBI's taxonomy places the organism in Eukaryota, Metazoa, Cnidaria, Anthozoa, Scleractinia, Pocilloporidae. The record is from RefSeq and is a predicted model, not a curated record.